Molecule: small RNA, 687 nt
Filed under: Vigna angularis var. angularis
Lineage: Eukaryota; Viridiplantae; Streptophyta; Magnoliopsida; Fabales; Fabaceae
Description: Non-protein coding transcript
Source: RNAcentral
CAAAUUCACUCGUUUUUGUGUCAAACAUGUUAAGCGUCAUGGAUAAUGUUAGCAUGAGCUUAAACCAGGGUACGCCACGCGUAUUGCAAAUUUACAUGAAUGAUCUAUUUGGAAAUGAUUUCAAUAGCAUCUUCAAGUUGAUCCCCGACUUCUUCCAAAGAAUACAUGAAGAAGAACACGACAACCAUGUACGAUGUUUUAUUCAUGCAACACCUGGAAGCUUCUAUGGAAGGCUUUUUCCUGAUGAUUACAUCCACUUCUUUCAUUCUUCUUACAGUCUCCACUGGCUAUCUCAGGCACCGACUUCCACCAGCAUAGCCGAACCACUAAACAAGGGAAAUAUUUAUAUAACAAAUGAAAACAGUCCUUCAGUCUAUGAAGCAUACACGAAACAAUUUGAAAAGGAUUUCAAACAUUUUCUUAAAUCACGCUCGGAUGAACUAAGGUCGGGUGGUAUCAUGUUACUUACGUUCAUUGGUAGAGAAAAAUCUCAAAACAUGACUAGUCCAUGGGGUAUAAUUGGUAUGGUACUCAACGACAUGGUCCAAGAGGGUUUGGUUGAAAGGGCAAAAUUGGACUUUUUUGAUCUUCCUAUUUAUGGUCCAACUCCUGAAGAAGUUAGACAAGUGAUUGAAGAAGAAGGAUCUUUUAGGCUUAUAACAUUGAAGACUGUUAAAAUAGGUUGGG